UAGGGAAUAUUGGACAAUGGGGGAAACCCUGAUCCAGCCAUGCCGCGUGAGUGAUGAAGGCCUUAGGGUUGUAAAGCUCUUUCGGCGGGGAAGAUAAUGACGGUACCCGCAGAAGAAGCCCCGGCUAACUUCGUGCCAGCAGCCGCGGUAAUACGAAGGGGGCUAGCGUUGCUCGGAAUCACUGGGCGUAAAGCGCACGUAGGCGGAUUUCUAAGUCAGGGGUGAAAUCCUGGAGCUCAACUCCAGAUCUGCCUUUGAUACUGGAAAUUUCGAGUUCGGGAGAGGUGAGUGGAACUGCGAGUGUAGAGGUGAAAUUCGUAGAUAUUCGCAAGAACACCAGUGGCGAAGGCGGCUCACUGGCCCGAUACUGACGCUGAGGUGCGAAAGCGUGGGGAGCAAACA
This 402-nucleotide ribosomal RNA is filed under the name uncultured bacterium. RNAcentral describes it as "bacterial SSU rRNA". It matches the Rfam family "Bacterial small subunit ribosomal RNA", at positions 355 to 774 of the family's 1533-position model. The record is from RNAcentral.